AUGGAAAAAUUCAAAGGGUAUUCAGAAAAACAUAAAUCUCGUCAACAAUACUUUGUCUACCCACUUCUCUUUCAGGAAUAUAUUUAUGCAUUUGCCCACCAUUAUGGAUUAAAUGGUUCUGAACCUGUGGAAAUAGUUGUUAGUUGUAAUAACAAGAAAUUUAGUUCACUACUUGUGAAACGUUUAAUUAUUCGAAUGUAUCAGCAAUUUUUUUUGGAUAACUCGGUUAAUCAUCCUAACCAAGAUCGAUUAUUGGAUUACAAAAAUUAUUUUUAUUCUGAGUUUUAUUCUCAGAUUCUAUCUGAAGGGUUUGCGAUCGUUGUGGAAAUCCCAUUCUCGCUACGGGAAUUAUUUUGUCCGAAAGAAAAAGAAAUACCAAAGUUUCAGAAUUUACGCUCUAUUCAUUCAAUAUUUCCCUUUUUAGAAGACAAAUUUUUGCAUUUGGAUUAUCUAUCACAUAUAGAAAUACCCUAUCCUAUCCAUUUGGAAAUCCUGGUUCAACUCCUUCGAUACCGUAUCCAAGAUGUUCCAUCUUUGCAUUUAUUGCGAUUCUUUCUCAACUAUUAUUCGAAUUGGAAUAGUUUUAUUACUUCAAUGAAAUCCAUUUUUUAUUUUCAAAAAAGAAAAUAA
This 630-nucleotide ribosomal RNA is filed under the name Triticum aestivum (bread wheat). RNAcentral describes it as "partial small subunit ribosomal RNA". The record is from RNAcentral. Lineage: Eukaryota; Viridiplantae; Streptophyta; Magnoliopsida; Poales; Poaceae.